RNAcentral lists this ribosomal RNA (280 nucleotides) under Leptolyngbya valderiana KUAC 3198. Its description in RNAcentral is "partial 16S ribosomal RNA". It matches the Rfam family "Bacterial small subunit ribosomal RNA", at positions 518 to 796 of the family's 1533-position model. The record is from RNAcentral. Lineage: Bacteria; Bacillati; Cyanobacteriota; Cyanophyceae; Leptolyngbyales; Leptolyngbyaceae.
CGGUAAUACGGAGGAGGCAAGCGUUAUCCGGAAUUAUUGGGCGUAAAGCGUUCGUAGGCGGCAUUUCAAGUCUGCUGUCAAAGGCCGAGGCUCAACUUCGGAAAGGCAGUGGAAACUGAAAAGCUAGAGGUCGGUAGGGGCAGAGGGAAUUCCCAGUGUAGCGGUGAAAUGCGUAGAUAUUGGGAAGAACACCGGUGGCGAAAGCGCUCUGCUGGGCCGAACCUGACGCUGAGGGACGAAAGCUAGGGGAGCGAAUGGGAUUAGAUACCCCCUGUAGUCA